UUUCCUUUGGGGGGACUUG
Molecule: ribosomal RNA, 19 nt
Filed under: Opuntia cochenillifera
Lineage: Eukaryota; Viridiplantae; Streptophyta; Magnoliopsida; Caryophyllales; Cactaceae
Description: Nopalea cochenillifera partial 18S ribosomal RNA
Source: RNAcentral